UAAAAUAUAUUGUUGUUGUUAUUUUACAUUUUAUAUCCCGCUCUUCCUCCAAGGAGUCCAGAGUGGUGUACUACAUACUUAGGUUUCUCCUCACAACAACCCUGUGAAGCAGGUUAGGCGGAGAGAGAAGCGACUGGCCCAGAGUCAUCCAGCUAGUCUCAUGGCUGAAUGGGGAUUUGAACUCGGGUCUCCCCGGUCCUAGUCCAGCACUCUAACCACUGCACCACGCUGGCUCUUGCUCUCCUGCCUGAUUUCCCCCUCAGAGUAUCUGACAGAAGUAGAGCAAACACAGUGAGGAAGGAUUGGAGGCCCCCUAACUGAGGAGCAAGGAGCUCCCGCUUCCCGCCUCAUGAGGCACAGAGUUUGGCACCAACACAAUGGCGGCACUGAGGCUAGGCUGCUCCCAGGUGCAAGCAAAACGGAGCUCCCAGUCCACCCUUUUUUUCUCCUCAGCAAUGAGCAAUCCCACCCUCCUCACUCCAAGAGCAGAGAACCUGAAGGGACCCACACAAGUGAGAAAUGCCUUUCUUGCAGGCUCAAGGGUCUCCUCUCGCUCUCUCUCGCUCUCUGGGGCAUGUGGAGAAACUAUUCUCAGGCGUUUCCCCCCUUGGGAAGAACCCCGAAAUUCUCUUCAGAUUUCAGUCUCCCCUCAGGAGCCGCUCCGAAAGCCCUCCCAGUUUCUGCUUCCGUUUGGAGGAACUCUGGAAUUCUCUUUCAGAUUUCAUUUUGAAGAUAUUUCCAUCCCAGUCUUUUCUCUUUUUUUAAAUGGAGUGUGCAACCAGCGCCCCAAUAAUGGGAGGAAAGCUGGUCUUGUGGUGGCAAGCAUGACUUGUCCCCCUUUGCUAAGCAGGGUCUGCCCUGGUUUGCAUUUGAAUGGGAGACCACAUGUGUGAGCACUGGAAGAUAUUCCCCUCAGGGGAUGGAUUGGAGCCGCUGUGGGAAGAGCAAAAGGAUCCAAGUUCCCUCCCUGGCAGCAUCUCCAAGAGAGGGCUGAGAGAGAUUCCUGCCUGCAAUCUUGCAGAAGCCGCUGCCAGCCUGUGGAGAUAAUGCUGAGCUAGAUAGACCAAGGGUCUGACUCCGUAUAAAGCAGCUUCCUGUGUUCCUAAUCUUGCUUCCUUGAGGUUUAGCCCUUUGCCUGUUUUGGAGAGGGCACACAUCAGGAGCCUGGGGAACUGCUGGACUUUAGACCAAGUGUAAUUCUGACAAGAGGAAAGUUGCUCUGUAGAAGUCCCAAAGCAAAACCUGGGAGGACAUUGACACUCAUUUCUCCUCAGACAUAUUGUCAGGGAAUGGCACGCUCUCCAAGAAGUGCCCAAGAGUACAUAACCUAGCUGGGGUAGUGGGUACCAUUUAGAAGGAUGAAUGAUCGUUCUGAUUUUUGAGAAGGCCUACAUUCCUAGAAAUGGAAAAUAGGUGAUAGUAUUGCAGUACUACUUCUACUUAUAUAUCACCUUUCAACAAAGGUUUGCAAAGCGGUUUACACAGAAAAAUAAACAAUGAAUAAAUAAGAUGGUCCCCUGUUGUGUUUCCCAGACUAUGGGAAACUCCUAUAUCGGGCAGCAGCAAUAUAGGAAGGUGCUGAAAGGCAUCAUCUCAGACUGCAAAGGAGGCGGCAAUGGUAAACCAAGAAAACCACAUGGCUCUGUGGUCACUAGGAGUUGACAUCGACUCAACAGCACAAGCUUUCCUUUCCUUUCCCCAAACACUCACAAUCUGAAAAGAAACAUAAGACAGACACCAGCAACAACCACUGGAGGGAUGCUGUGCUGGGGACGGAUAGGGCCAGUUGCUCUCCCCCUGCUAAAUAUAAGAGAAUCGCCACUUUGAAAGGUGCCUCUCUGCUCAGUUAGCAGGGCAGACUCUCAGCUUUCAUUACCCUGACCAUCGGGCCUGCAGCGGCCACAUUUACAAUGGUGCUUUAAAAGCUGUGAAGUUUUAUUUAUUUCUAUUAUUUAUUUAGCAUAUUUAUAUACCACCCAAAAGUUCACAUCUCUUUACAGCAAAACAGAUUUAAAAACAAAGUAAAAGCAUUAAAUCAAUCUAAAACAAUGAUAGAUUCUUCACAUUAAUUAAAAGCCUAAUUAAACUUUUUUAAAAAUUAAAACACAAAAACGACUAUAAAAUUUCAUUGAAGUUGUCAGAAGAAUGGAAAUGGGUAGCAGGAAUAUCCUCCAAAAAUUACUCUAGGGAGAGAGAACAACAAGUUGUUCAGUAUUAUCCAAACCCUGCUGUAACCCUGACCAGUGUUCCCUCUAACAGGGAUUCCCAGAGUUUUUGGCUAAAGUAAAGUAGAAGUAAAGUGCGCCGUUGAGUUGGUGUCGGCUCCUGGUGACCACAGAGCCCUGUGGUUGUCUUAAAAAUAGAACUCCCAUAAUCUACAAGCAAAAGCUAUUGCAGUUGGGGAUUCUGGGAGUUGUAGUCAACAACAUCUGGGAAUCCCUUGUCCCCUCUAACAGAGAUUCCCAGAUGUUAUUGACUGCAACUUCCAGCAUCCCCAGCUGCAAUGGCUUUUGCUUGGGCAUUAUGGGAGUUGUAGUCAACAACAUCUGGGAAGUGGGAAUCCUUAUUAGAGCGUACACUGAUCCUAACCUUUCCCUCUGUACAAAAAUGACUGUAAUUUUACCCUAACCGUUUAGCAGUAGGGGUAAGGAAGGGGCAAUAACACAGAUAAUGCUGCAAGUGCUACAAUGCCAUCUCUAGGGGGAGUCAUUGCCCCAAAACAUUAGAAGAAUUCAUCCCCCAGGGUAAUACAGAUGACCAAAAUUUAUGGGCCUGGUUCAUAGACUAUGAGGAGAAAAGUCUGACAAUAUGUUGGGUGAAAUAUACAUGUCCUUGGAGCCAGACCUCCAGGAAGCUUUUCACAUGGGGCUUUUGAAGCCCUUUAAUUCGCAUCUCUUCUAGAAUGGAGGGAGUUCAUUCACAUAUCGGCCAGAUUUACCCCAAAGUCCCUGAGAGUUAUUGGGGAGCAGUUCACACACAAUUCAGGUUUUUCACUGUUCAUUAGACAUGUAACUCAAUUUAUAUCCGGGGUAAAAAGACCCACCACUAUUUGCAUCGUUUUUUGGGGACAACUUUGAGUUUGCAGUAAAGCCUCCCUGUAAACUUACAGUAAAAUCUGCUGUGUGUAAAAGCCCCUUCCAAAGCAAAGACACAAUUAAGAAACUGAUCUGACAGAAUGGCAGACUUUUAUAUUUUCCAGUGGCAAAUCCAGUCCAAUGCAUGAUCCCUGAAGCUGCAGAGAGCUAGUGUGAUUUUGUACACAAUGACUGACAUCCUAAUGAAAUUCACUAGAGGAAGUCCUAUUGAAAUGUAGUCAUCCUUUAGAGUACUCCCUGAAUAGUACACUCCGUAAGUUAGUCUGGACAUCAGCUAACCUGGUUCACACAAUAAUUCAAAUUGAGGUUUAUUUAUUUUAUUUUAUUUAUUUAACAUUUUAUAUCCCGCUUUUCCUCCAAGGAGCCCAGAGCGGUGUACUACAUACUUGAGUUUCUCCUCACAACAACCCUGUGAAGUAGGUUAGGCUGAGACACAAGUGACUGGCCCAGAGUCACCCUGCUAGUAUCAUGUCUGAAUGGGGAUUUGAACUUGGGUCUCCCUGGUCCUAGUCCAGCACUCUAACCACCACACCACGCUGGUUCUUGUGUGAUUAAUGAGAGUUACCAACAUUAGUGCGAUUGUGUAAGCCCAGAUGGGAAUCUCGGAUUUAUCUUGGGCAUCUCUUUGGCAUGGGUUCACACGACCAGACUAAUGUCAGUAACCCACACUAUACCUAGAUUUGAACAAUUGUGUGAAUCAGGCCACUGUAUUGCACUUUACCAGAGAGACUUGGGUAAAGAUCCCUACUUGACUGGUGCUGUUUAAUUAUUUAAAAUACUACAAGGGAAAGUUGAGAUGCGUCAGCUAAUGCUGCUUACCACUUACCUUAAACUGCUUGCACAAUGUUCUAACAGAUCCUCUUCUUUUCCUUUCUUUCUAAUGUGAUGCCAAUUACUGAUUUUCAGAAGUUUGCCCAGGGGGCUGCCCAGGAAAAAAAACACAAACCAUAGCUUAUAAAUAGCUGUGUCUGACAUCAGGAUCAUUAAACUGGCUGUCACCCAGAUUGGAGCAGAACAGACAAGGGACUGUGGGAAGAGGGGUACAUGACAGGUUUGUACCAAGCUCAGAGAAGGAUGUUUGAGAACUUGGGUACCCACUCAAGGGCCAACUGGAAUCCAAAAUGAUCAACCGCCCUCGGCCUGUGCUGGAAGAUUUAAUCUCCAGGAGGUUUUACAGACAAGGGCUUUCCCCCCAAAUCCACUCCUGAUUGGAGUGUGCCAGUCCACAUAUUCGCUGGAUUUAACUUGACUUGUAGCAGAGAAUUCCACAAACUGAUUAUGCGUUGUGUGAAAAAGUACUUCCAUUUGUUGGCCCUAAACUGUUUGAGAGGAUACAGUCUGGGAACCAGCCAGCAAGGCGAGGCAAGGAAGCCGUGUCGCAUCCUGUUGGCAAGGCAAGGUCUGGGAGCUGGGGCAGACUCUCUGAGGGAGCUGUUGAAACCAGCUGGGCAUUGUGGCAGCUUUGGCAGGCUGGAGGAGUCUUGCCCUUUCCUGCUAGCCUAGGCAAGCAUUACUCUUGCCCAUUUUGGAGUGUACCUUGCUCCUCCUCCAUUGUCAGGCAUCAAGCAUCAAGGUGCUGGAUGUGCCCUCCUCUGUCGGUUCUUGCUUUUUUCACAGGCCUGGUGAUGUCUCCGCUGCUGGGGACUUGGAGGGAAGACUGGCGAAUGCAGAGGGACUGGAAGCUGUUCCCAGGUGGUCUCCGGGAGCGGCAUCCCCAUUGGCUCGGAGAGGAGGGCUGUGGCUCCUGGUGGAUCUACCAUCUGUGAUGGUGGAUGGGAAGGACACUGGGGAACUUCUGAGGCUUCAGGAGUGGGGGUUGGCAGAUCAAGGGGCAGUGGUUCAGCAAGGUCUCCCUCUGGUUCCAUCGCUUCUCGGCCUUUUGGCUAAGAUCAGGUGUAGUGUAUGCAGUGAUGUAUUCUCUCUGCCUUUGCAACCACACAUUCGUUAGUACGCGGCCGUGUUUUAUCGGGAAACUCUAUUCACUACUGCUCUUGUAAACCAUGUGUAAAACAUUCUCUAAUAAAAGUCAAUGUGUUCCGAGGCUGGUGGGCAACCCAAUUCCUGGGUGUCUGCAAGUAAGGUGUCUUCUUUUGGCAUAGCUGCCCCUUCCUUCUCAGUGUGUCACUGGUCUCACAUUCAGGACAGGUCCGGGCAGCCCUUGCUGAUGGUGGCACACCUAGUCCUUUUAAAUCCAUCCACUCCUCAGGCUCCUUGACAGUGUUUAGCGGAGGGGGGGGGGAGUAAAGACAUGGCUCUUCACCCAGGCUUCUGAAUGAAAAUAUUGUUUGUGCUGCUGCUGCUUUGUGUUUUUAUGUAUUAUUGUUUUUAAUGAACUAUUACAUUUUUAAAUAGAGAUGUUAUUUUUAUAUUUAGAUUAUCUGUACUUUUGUAUUUUAAUUGUGCAUGGUUUGAAUGAUAUUGUAGUCUGCUUUGAGAUUAUUUUAAUGAAAAGCAGUAUAUAAAUCAAACAAUAAAUAAAUAAAAAUUCAUCUUUCCUUCUG
Long non-coding RNA from Hemicordylus capensis (graceful crag lizard), 5596 nucleotides. RefSeq lists it as uncharacterized. The record is from RefSeq and is a predicted model, not a curated record. NCBI's taxonomy places the organism in Eukaryota, Metazoa, Chordata, Lepidosauria, Squamata, Cordylidae. The transcript is spliced from 2 exons.